UUCUUCAAAAAAACUGUUGGAAAAGCACCUGAUAGGUGCAAGCGGUUCCAAGACCACCCUAGAUGGACAAAAGGUCCCAUAAGCCAAAUCAACAGAAGUUCUAGCGAUAGAAGACACUAUAGUAGGGGCGACAAAGUCCCCUGCACCAUUCUAAACAUUCCUUCCCUUACCACUAUUUUCGUUGAUUUUACCAAUAGAGAGGAUGAAGCCAGAAGGAGGAAAGGCAAGAGGAAGCACAAUGAGCGGUUUACUUCUACUCAUUCUCCUAAGUGCGACUGUCUAGGUGGGGAGAAAUCAAUCCCUCUUGUUGGCAGCAUUUUCAGUACUGGGUUAUGAAUGGGAGAUAAAGUCUUAUUUCACCUUAACUUAGAGGAGAAGGAGUUGAUAAAUGGUGUCUCAGAAGUUGAUGUGUUGGAUGCUGUAGUGGAAUUUAGCUUGUGCGUGGUCGCUUAAUGUAAGAGGGUGUCUCCUUGCAUUCAUCAAUCAAAGAUAGUCCGAUUGGAGAAGGACUUGGAAGGUUCCCAAGCAGAUCUUGCAACAAAUCUUAAGGCCAAUAGGGUAUGGACGACCCAAUUGAAGGAGAUCAAGUCCGCUCACACAUAGUGUGCGCAAAAGGAAAAAGAUUCAGCCACCAGGGUUGUUACCUUGGUUGAAAAAUAAAAAAUUUUGGUGGCAGAAACUAGCUGAUUGCAAUGACAUGUUGAAAAUCUCCUUCUAUCUCAAAAAAUUGAUCAGAAGGCCCAAAGAGACUUAGAUAAAAAAUACAAGUUCUUAACUGCGGAGCUUAAUGAACCAAGCAGUUGAUCAUGGCUCAAUAUGAGGACAAUUUCCAGAAUGCUUUGGACUAAAUGAUUU
Molecule: long non-coding RNA, 855 nt
Filed under: Vigna radiata
Lineage: Eukaryota; Viridiplantae; Streptophyta; Magnoliopsida; Fabales; Fabaceae
Description: long non-coding RNA (VRAD_LNC007979)
Source: RNAcentral